RNAcentral lists this transfer RNA (69 nucleotides) under Onthophagus giraffa. RNAcentral describes it as "tRNA-Leu". Lineage: Eukaryota; Metazoa; Arthropoda; Insecta; Coleoptera; Scarabaeidae. The record is from RNAcentral.
AUUACUUUGGCAGAAUAGUGUUUUAAAUUUAGAAUUUAAUUAUGUAUAAAUGUAUUUAUACAAGUAAUA